RNAcentral lists this long non-coding RNA (631 nucleotides) under Mus musculus (house mouse). Its description in RNAcentral is "predicted gene, 30239". Lineage: Eukaryota; Metazoa; Chordata; Mammalia; Rodentia; Muridae. The record is from RNAcentral.
GAUUCCUACGCCAGAAACCCACAGCACUCAACUGGCAACAAUACCCUUGAUUGUAUCAAGAACAAGGCCAUUGGUCAGAUUUUCCUCAGUAGAAGUUAUCUGUGCCAGAAAGCCAUCAAAGAAACACAAUGCACUUGAAGACACCUUGGAAAUGUGGUGUGGAAUAGGAAGAAGGAGAGAAAAGGAAAUCUGUAAGAGGAAUGGAGACAAACAGAUUUGAAAGCAGAACAGUGAACCUGAGGAAAUGACUUCUCUGCUCCUCCUCAUGUUCCCAUGGCUACAGAUUAGAGCCUGGUCCCCUGCUUCGGUGUAUCUCCCUACCACAUGACGGAUGGACUCACCUGUUUCCCCUUCAGUUGUUUCUUGCUGGUCACAGCAAUGAGAAAAGUAACAGAUCAUCUGUACUGAGAACAUUGACCCACCCUCACCACGUCAAUGGGAAAUCAUCACUGUUUGCCCCGAAGGACUUGUACUAAUUGACAAAAAUUGGUCCUCACUCUUUCUACAAUUGAUCUGUGAGGCUCAUAUAUUUUUUUCCACUGAAAGAAAAACAAUUUUCCUGUCCCUUAGUUCCAGAAAAUUAGGCUUGUCUAAGCCAGGUGGUUUGUAAAUAAUAAAUUGCAUUAUCUGC